This is an RNA transcript of Mangifera indica (mango), 1650 nucleotides long. It is a transcript of the gene named zinc finger protein CONSTANS-LIKE 3-like, with no coding region annotated. The record is from RefSeq and is a predicted model, not a curated record. Lineage: Eukaryota; Viridiplantae; Streptophyta; Magnoliopsida; Sapindales; Anacardiaceae. The transcript has 3 exons.
GCAAAAGCAAGUCUCUGAUUGUAAACAAAUGCUCUACUUGUCCGCCGUCCCUCCCUCUUCUGCAGCGUGAGAUGAGAGAGAGAAUUCCAACAAACUAGAGAGAGGAAAUUCCCGAGAAAAGCGAAAGAAAAGAAAAUAGAAAAUAUCAAUAUCAAUAGAUCAAAGCAAACAACAAAUGAACAACUGUGAGCUGUGCAAGUCGAGGGCGACAACAUACUGCGAAUCUGAUCAGGCGAGCCUUUGCUGGGGGUGCGACGCCAAGGUCCAUGCAGCCAACUUUCUAGUUGCUAGACACUCUAGAACCCUUCUCUGUCAUAUAUGCAACUCUCUAACUCCUUGGAAAGCCUCCGGUUCGAAUCUCGGUCAUACCGUUUCUGUCUGCGAGACUUGCCUCAACCGGCAACAACAAUACGAAGGACAGAGCCAAGAAGAAACAACUGACGAAGACGACGAUGACGAAGAGGACGAUGAGGUGGAGGGAGAAAAUCAGGUGGUGCCGUGGUCCUCCAUCGCAUCUACGCCGCCGCCGGCUUCCAGUUCUUCAAGUAGCGGUGAGAUUUCCGCUUGUUCGUUUAAACGGCGGCGUGAAGAGGUCUCAGAUCUUCAAUCUCAAGAUGAACAGAAUGGUUCAUUGUCUCAACGGGAGUACUGUACGACUUCGAGGAGGGAGGCUGCUGGUAAUGAAUCAACAAAAGCGGAUGGUUCCGAAUCUGUGGCGAUAAUCGCUGAGCCGCCGAAUCAGCGAAAUAAAGCGGAAAUCAGCGAGGUCGAUUGGUGGGGAUCAUGUAGUCGUGGUAAUUGAGUUAGUUUGAGAUAUUUUUCAAGUUGACUUGUUCUAACAAUACCCUCUAGUUGAUGAGCAGGGCCUGCUUAGAUUUAAUUUGUGUAUUAACGGGAGAUCUAAUUUUGAUUUCUGUUUUCAAAAUUAGAUUGUAUGGAAUGGAAUAUGAUUCCAAUGGGUUUUCUUGGACUGGAUUAAUUGAAUGUUUACAGGAGAAAAUAAUUUGGCCGUAGUGAUGGUGCUUUGGAUACCAACCACCCAGCCAAUUGAUUGAUUGGUUGGUGAGAAUGGAUUUCUGAAAAUGGCAAGGCCAAAUUUAAGGUACGUAUAGGUAGAUUUUAAUGUUUACAUAGUAAAAUAUCUAGGCGGUUAUGACCUCCACCACCUAGAGCUUAAUUUAAAUAAAAAUAAGGUAAUGGCUGUCCAUCAAAUCAAGCAGUUCCGAACUUUAUGUCUAUAAAUCAUAUUAUUUAUAAUUGUCAAAUAUACAAUGAAAAAAAAAACAUGGCAAUCAAUUGUGGUUGAGGAAAUUCAUCACUCUUUUUAAAAUAUCAGAAAGGAUUUUUUUUGAAAAUAAUAAUAAAGAAUGAAUGAUCGUAUGGAGGAGAAUUGACAAGUAUUCAAGUGGGAAAUGGGUUUUUGUGGUGGAGAUUUGUUCUGUAGUUUGAGGAGAAAGUUUGUGUGGUGGUAGUUGGACGCUUCUCAGCAUCCAUGGAGAUGGUGAUAUUAUAAGAGUGUUAUUGAUCUUGGCAUUCGGCUGACCAUUGCUUACUUCCCAUUUGUAUUGUGAAAAUGACUUAAAAGGAUUUAUUUUCUUUGAUUUUGUUUUUUCCUUCUUUUCAAUGAAAUUGCAUUUACAUUUCCACCAA